CGCCAUUUCAUCCCGGUGUGUUUCGGCUGCAAGGUCUUCGUGGGACGCUGUCCCGCACAGCACACAGGCAGCGGUGACCGUCCCCGCUCUUCCCCUAAAUCACAAAAUCACGGAAUGGUUUGGGUUGGAAGGGGCUUAAAGAUUCCCUAACUCCAACCCUGCCGUGGCAGGGACGCCCCCCACCAGAUCAGGUUGGCCAGGGCCCACCCAGCCUGGCCUUGAGCCCCUCCAGGGAUGGGGCAGCCACAGCCUCUCCGUGCAGCCUGUCCCAGUGCGUGAAGAAUUCCUCCUAAUGCCCGGUCUAAUUCUGUCCUCUUUUAAUUUAAGACCACAUUUAAUGGGAUCCCGACCUGCCCGGUGGGAUCUGGAGCUGUGGGUUUGCGACCCCAUCCCAGAAAAGCACUGAGAAGCUUUGCAGCCGUGGGGCUCAGCAGCCUCCUGACGGCCUGGAGGGUGUUUAUUUUUCUUGUUAAAAGGCGAGCAUGUGUUUCUCUUCUAUCCUGCUACUUCUACAGCUGCCUACUGGGGAUUUUAAAUUAUUUUUAUUAUUUUAUAUUUCAUUUACAUCUGGAGGCCCUUUCAUGCUAGGCUCUGUACAAACACAGUCUUCCCUACUGAGCUUGCAAUCUAGGCAGACAAUGGAUGAGAGAAAUUAAGUGUUAUUGGCUCCAUUUUGCAGCACGGAAUUGGGACCUGCUGUUCCGCAGAGCUUGGUCUAGGAUCACGCAGGGAAUGUGUAGGCAAGCUGGGAAGGGAACCAGGUCUCACAGAACCAGAUCUCACAAGCUCCAGUUUCUGUGCUGAGGCAUUUGUCAUCCCUCACCCUGCUGUUUCUUCAGAGCCUGCGGCGAAGAAGUGAUCGGGGCUCAUUGAAAUCGGGAGGCAUUGGUUCACAAAGCCACGCCGUGCCAAGUGCUCUGCUCAGGAAAGUGAACCACUAGGUCGGAGGCAGAGCACAGAGCAAGCGUUAGAAAGUUAAAGCUGGAAUUGAGAAGUUUCUGUGUCGCUUUGGUGCGUUGUCCACCUACUUGCAGGUGUUGGGUCGCUUUUUCUGCCCAGUCAACCAUGGGAGUGCUUAGAAGAGCGCCGAAGUGCCUAGAAAGCUGAAACGGCAGGGUGGGGAGGGUUAACAGAAGCCCUGGUACUACAGAUUGGCUUUGCACUGUUGUCCAGAGCCUGUCAAACCUGGAACCAAUGCUCUUACACAUUUACUCGGCAGGGAAAGCUGGGGGAUGCACAGAGUCCAGAAGUAGAGAGCACUUCAGCCAGGAGAAGAGACCCCAGAAAACAUCAGUGUGGCAGAUAAUUUCCCUGCAUUCCAGAGCAGUGGAGUCUUCUGACCUAGUUGUGGGCAGUACUGAUUUGAAGCUAGGGCGAUCAACAAACAGCUCGUGGCAGGAUCAGAAGGAUAUGAUAUGAACUCUUACGAUACACACAAGAUACAUCCUGUGCAGGAAAUACAAGGGAAAAACCAAAGCAGGUGGGACUCCAUGCAGCUUCACCCAGCUCUGCCCCUGGCUGCACAGGAUAUCACCCACCCCGUAUGUCACGUACUGGCUCACGGAGCUGCGCAAGAACUGCUGGCAAUUCCAGGGAUAAGCCUUUAUGUAAGCAGAGCUCCUACAACUGAAGUCCUCAUUUUGCUUGAAGGAGAUUAGCUCUGCAAGACCCUGUGAUCCAGUUCUCAUCCCAGAUGCAGAGACCAGGGACACCCUUGGACAACAGUUUCCAAAUUUUCUUUGGACAGCUCAGGAUGUGUUUGUGCUGCCGGUGGAGUCAGGGAGAUGGCUUCAGGAACUGAAAGGUGUGAAGGGAACAUGCAGCUGCGACAUUUCUGAAGCUUUAAGGUAGGUGUAAGCAACUGCAUCUUCACUAAGAUUUAUGUAAUUCUCAAUCCUAGCUGCUCUCAACAUUUUACUUUAUCACAGAUGUUGUCUUAUAGUUAACUUUGUACUUUAGAUACCAUGUGUCAAUUAUUUGGAUUCUGUCAUAAUGUUACUGUGAUUGCAAACUGCUUUGGU
Molecule: long non-coding RNA, 2021 nt
Organism: Oxyura jamaicensis (ruddy duck)
Lineage: Eukaryota; Metazoa; Chordata; Aves; Anseriformes; Anatidae
Exons: 9
Source: RefSeq, a predicted model, not a curated record